This 377-nucleotide ribosomal RNA is filed under the name Oligotrichia sp. RNAcentral's name for it is "SSU rRNA". It matches the Rfam family "Eukaryotic small subunit ribosomal RNA", at positions 587 to 975 of the family's 1831-position model. Lineage: Eukaryota; Ciliophora; Spirotrichea. The record is from RNAcentral.
AGCUCCAAUAGCGUAUAUUAAAGUUGUUGCAGUUAAAAAGCUCGUAGUUGGAUUUCUGGGAGGGUGCCAAUGUCCGCCAACGUGCGUGUGCAGCGGCGCCCUUCCAUCCUUCUGUUAACGCCUCUUGGCAUUCAUUUGCUGGUAGCGGGCUCAGAUAUUUUACCUUGAGAAAAUUAGAGUGUUUCAGGCAGGCUUGGCCGGAAUACAUUAGCAUGGAAUAAUGGAAUAGGACUAUGGUCUCUUUGUUGGUUUGAGGGACUGCAGUAAUGAUUAAUAGGGAUAGUUGGGGGCAUUAGUAUUUAAUUGUCAGAGGUGGAAUUCUCAGAUUUGUUAAAGACUAACUUAUGCGAAAGCAUUUGCCAAGGAUGUUUUCAUUA